Long non-coding RNA from Micropterus dolomieu (smallmouth bass), 1128 nucleotides. RefSeq lists it as uncharacterized. NCBI's taxonomy places the organism in Eukaryota, Metazoa, Chordata, Actinopteri, Centrarchiformes, Centrarchidae. The transcript is spliced from 2 exons. The record is from RefSeq and is a predicted model, not a curated record.
AGGCCGUGAUUUUCCCUCCUAAUCUGCGGGAAGGAGAUUAGAUUAAAUCUGUUGCACAGCGACUGUGACCUCACCACCGACCCAUUUCACAAUGCUGCGCUGUACUGUGGUUUCUUCUUUAUAUGUCUGAGCCACCGGGGACGCUGCAGCCGAGACCUUUGUGCCUCCCGAACACAACCAGGGAAGUUUCUGGAGUUUCUGGUGCCCUGGAGGAGCAGUCAUGCUCACCAUUAGGAGUCCUCCUAAAAAGAGUUUCCUCUCUAUUCACCAUCCAAUUGUUCUUGAGAUAGUUCAGUCUAGCUCCAGGGGGUGGACAACUGGACUCCUAAAACCAUGGAAAAGCUGAAGAAAUCCAAAAGGGAGCUGGAAAAGCACGAUUCAAACAUUCAGUCCAGUGAGCACCAAGGCUGCGGAGACAGAAGAGAUGCUCCAGACUGUGAGAACAAGCAACGCUCUCUGCGUCAAGCUGCAGCUGAGUUGCAUCAUCAAGUAACGGAGAAGACCAACAAGCUUGAACACAGAGAGUGAACACACCUGCCUGCAGAUCCCGUACGCACCUGCUGCUGAGCUUCACUCAGACCUCGAAGAUGUUGAGCUUAUUGAGAAGUAGGAGGUGAAUGCGCUUUGCCCCAAGUUCAGUCAGUUACAGAAAAACUUAUGUAGGCAGUCCGGCUUGGGAGGAGCAAGAGGCUUUGCUGAAGAACCAGAGAUUGGAGAUGGACAGGCUUCAGGCUGCUGUGAGGUCGGCCGAGGAGCAGCUGGAAGUCCAACGUCUCAACAAAAGUUGUGUAAAACAAAGAGCAACUGUGGGGGGAGAUGUUAGAAGAGGUGGAGAGCUGGUUGAAAGAAGUGAGCGACAGGAGGCCCAGGAGCAGGUACUGCUUUGUCAGAGUAGGUGGACUGUGGUUUUUGAAUGAACACCCAGCCGUCCGUGGAGGGCAGGAUCUCUCUUUGAAUUGUCUCUCCUGAGGUUUCUUCACAUUUUGGUCUUAGAAAGCUUGGGCUGGUGGGGGGAACCAUUGUUGAUGUGGACCUGUAGAGAUUUAGUUAACCUCAAGUUAAAUGUUCUAUAAAUCACUGAAAUAAGAACAUUACAAACAAAAUAAAUAAAAUGUACCUCCAAAUGAA